Long non-coding RNA from Cucurbita maxima (winter squash), 691 nucleotides. RefSeq lists it as uncharacterized. The transcript has 3 exons. Lineage: Eukaryota; Viridiplantae; Streptophyta; Magnoliopsida; Cucurbitales; Cucurbitaceae. The record is from RefSeq and is a predicted model, not a curated record.
AAGCCCAAUAGGCAAAAUGGACAUUUUACCCCUCAGCCCAUUAUAGGGGUCUUGAGGGUUCUCCACAGAAUUCCUGCAAAAGAGAGAAGAGUGAGAGAGAAGGAUUGAGAGGAAGUUUGGGAGAGAAAACUGAAUAGCCGGAGUUUUCAUCGGAGAGUCACCGACGGAAUCUAUUCCCUACUAAGACCUACACUCUGGAGUCCUUCUUGGAGUGAAGUAAGAACUCGUGUUGAGAUUUCCUCUUCUUUCUUCAAGAUCUGAAAGAAAACCCACAAGGUAAGAUCCGCCACUGAUUUUGGUGAGGAAAUCGGACGAAACGUCGAAAUCUGAGAAUCUUUCAAAGAACGGAGGAGAAGUCGCCGGCGUGCCACUUGUCAACCGGCUAGAGGACCGCGUGCGCCAAUCACCUUCGGACACGCGUCAGACGCCGUCUAGGAAAAUGCGGCUCCAGCCUUCCUACGACACGCGUCCCCAGCAUUGCAACCCGACCCGCGGUCCACCCGAACCACUGCUUCCGACCAAACCCGCGACCUGCGACUGCAAAAAACUCUAGGCGCGUGACACUCGCGCGUGGAACCUGCGAGUGGUUGCACCCCGGCGCGUGGCUGGUGCGUGUAAGCUUAUUUUUGACCUGUUUGAUUUCUGUUUUCCCUAUUUUCCUCCUAAUUCCAAUCCUAAACCCAUUUAUAUG